GUCCUGGCCGUAAACGUUGGGCACUAGGUGUUGGAGGCAUCGACCCCUCCAGUGCCGCAGCUAACGCAUUAAGUGCCCCGCCUGGGGAGUACGGCCGCAAGGUUGAAACUCAAAGGAAUUGACGGGGGCCCGCACAAGCGGUGGAGCAUGUGGUUUAAUUCGACGCAACGCGAAGAACCUUACCCAGACUUGACAUGCACGGGACCGGUGUUGAAAUACACCUUCCCUUCGGGGCUCGUGCACAGAUGCUGCAUGGCUGUCGU
This 263-nucleotide ribosomal RNA is filed under the name uncultured bacterium. RNAcentral describes it as "partial 16S ribosomal RNA". It matches the Rfam family "Bacterial small subunit ribosomal RNA", at positions 793 to 1055 of the family's 1533-position model. The record is from RNAcentral.